This is a small nucleolar RNA of Cicer arietinum (chickpea), 106 nucleotides long. Lineage: Eukaryota; Viridiplantae; Streptophyta; Magnoliopsida; Fabales; Fabaceae. The record is from RefSeq and is a predicted model, not a curated record.
AACCCAUGAUGAGGGCACAAUUUCAACAUCUCCUUGAAGUGCUCCCAAGCUUCAUAGAUCAAUUAUACAUCUUUUUGAGAAAAACUAGUGAUUUGAUUUCUCAAUU